UACGCAGGCUGGCAGCUAGGUCAGUGGUGAAAUCCCACCGCUCAACGGUGGAACUGCCAUUGAUACUGGUUGUCUUGAGUACAGUAGAGGUAUGCGGAAUGUGACAUGUAGCGGUGAAAUGCAUAGAUAUGUCAUAGAACACCGAUUGCGAAGGCAGCAUACUGGACUGUAACUGACGCUGAGGUACGAAAGCGUGGGGAGCGAACAGGAUUAGAUACCCUGGUAGUCC
Molecule: ribosomal RNA, 229 nt
Filed under: uncultured bacterium
Lineage: Bacteria
Description: partial 16S ribosomal RNA
Rfam family: Bacterial small subunit ribosomal RNA
Source: RNAcentral